AGCAACCUGGGGUGUGCGAUAAUUCCUGUAUGUUUUGAACCUACAGAUUGAAAAACGGGAUUCCUAUAUUAUUGAGCGGAUGUCGGGCCUCCAUUGAGUGGAUGGCAGAAGCUCAUUUGCGGUAACCCACCUAGCGAGGGCUAGGAAUCAAAAGUGCAGGAACCGGCAUUUCCGGGGAAUAU
This 182-nucleotide non-coding RNA is filed under the name Bacillota bacterium. RNAcentral describes it as "Firmicutes bacterium (gut metagenome) 6S RNA". It matches the Rfam family "6S / SsrS RNA". Rfam says of the family: E. coli 6S RNA was the first non coding RNA to be sequenced, but its function was unknown until recently. It consists of 184 nucleotides that fold into an extended hairpin structure with a large single-stranded internal bulge. Lineage: Bacteria; Bacillati; Bacillota. The record is from RNAcentral.